Pistacia vera is the source of this 97-nucleotide small nucleolar RNA. RefSeq annotates it as small nucleolar RNA Z266. The record is from RefSeq and is a predicted model, not a curated record. The transcript has a single exon. Lineage: Eukaryota; Viridiplantae; Streptophyta; Magnoliopsida; Sapindales; Anacardiaceae.
GACAGGCAAGAAUGAUGAAUCAAUUAGAUGUGUGAAGGGAAUUAUUCUUUUGUGAACUCGACUAUUUGAGGCAUAUUAUUUGUCUGACUUGCCAUUA